Molecule: transfer RNA, 93 nt
Filed under: uncultured Comamonas sp.
Lineage: Bacteria; Pseudomonadati; Pseudomonadota; Betaproteobacteria; Burkholderiales; Comamonadaceae
Description: tRNA-Leu(taa)
Rfam family: tRNA
About the family: Transfer RNA (tRNA) molecules are approximately 80 nucleotides in length. Their secondary structure includes four short double-helical elements and three loops (D, anti-codon, and T loops).
Source: RNAcentral
GCCCCGGUGGUGAAAUUGGUAGACACCGCGGACUUAAAAUCCGCUGCUUCCUGAAUAAGGGGCGUGCCGGUUCGACCCCGGCCCGGGGCACCA